Diachasmimorpha longicaudata is the source of this 864-nucleotide long non-coding RNA. RefSeq lists it as uncharacterized. The transcript has 3 exons. Lineage: Eukaryota; Metazoa; Arthropoda; Insecta; Hymenoptera; Braconidae. The record is from RefSeq and is a predicted model, not a curated record.
GCAGGCUCAGACGUAGUUAGGCCUUGAGGUGCAGCAGAGGAAUCUGAAGCGUCCGCUGAAGUAAUUUGGAUUUCCGGGUCUAGUGUCCCACCUGUUGGCCUUUCGGGCCCCAUUGUUCUUCGUACCCGAGGCGCACGUGUCCUGCAGUGCUAUUGUUUUCUCUGAAAAAAAUAAAAAAAUGAAAAUAUCAAGGGAAACUGCGUUGUGACUCAGUGGAUGAAGCUUCAGAGGAGAUGGAUCCAUUAUUCAGAGCCUUUCAAAUGAGGACCCAAGUUUACCUAUGUCAGCCUCGGAUUGCGGCAUGAAUUCUUGGAGUUCGGCAACGAGAGCGCUUAUCUCAGCAGAAUCCUUGCGUAUACUGCAGAGCUCCUCCUCGUUGAAAUUCGGGGUAAUCGGCUUGCAGAGGAGAAUCGAUGAUAUAACGUUACCAAUGUUUGAUGGUCCAGAUUUACUCGCUGCAAUAAUAACUGGGUGAUAAGCGCCAGUUGAUUCUUAUAGUUUCACGGGGAUUAGAGAUAAUAUUUGAGGUGACAAGGGCGCAGAGAGGAAUCGGACGCAUGUGCGAAACGUGGGCCUCACUCCUCCAGUUAAUACUCACCAUAAUAUCCAGACAUAUCCAUGGGCACGAUGCGAAUGAGAUUUUUGCACUUGUACAGCUCCCUCAGGAACAACUGUGAUACAAAGAACAGCAGCACCAAAUUGGGACUGUCCGCCGGAAUUCCCAAGUCCAUUGCACUGUUGAGACAAUUAUCCAGAUAAGCAAGAGGGAUGCAGAGAGGAAGGAGGGGAAGCCUUGUCCUACAUUAAAAGUACACUCCUCGUUGCAUCAACUCUCGAGGUGUGCACAUAUUCUCGUUUCGCAUG